This 379-nucleotide long non-coding RNA is filed under the name Selaginella moellendorffii. Its description in RNAcentral is "long non-coding RNA (SMOE_LNC001320)". Lineage: Eukaryota; Viridiplantae; Streptophyta; Lycopodiopsida; Selaginellales; Selaginellaceae. The record is from RNAcentral.
UAUGUAUGGAGCUGCAAAGGUUUGAUUGGAGAGGUGAGACGCUCAGCUCAGCUUUAAAGCCAAUGGCUUUUUAAGUUCCUGAGCAUUUCAAUUUGCUUGUUUAGAUCAAGGACGUGAGGAAAGAAUUGGAGCAGCUGUUACAUUCCGACAGGUGAUGUUACAUUACGGCUGACCUUCACUGCCAAUCAUGGCAUCCAUAGCAAGUGUAGCUCUUGGUCCGCCCAUGUCAUCUUCUUCAAGACCAAGUGCCAGGUACUGCGAGAAAACAGGUAAAUCGCUUGGGACAACUGGGAGUCCCAAGCGAGGAGAUCACAGGUCUUGUGUAUUUACAGCAAUGAAUUUAAUUGAUUGUUUUCUCAUCUCCAGGGAUAUAGAGAUU